RNAcentral lists this unclassified non-coding RNA (6811 nucleotides) under Manduca sexta (tobacco hornworm). Its description in RNAcentral is "dual specificity protein phosphatase 22, transcript variant X3". Lineage: Eukaryota; Metazoa; Arthropoda; Insecta; Lepidoptera; Sphingidae. The record is from RNAcentral.
GUGUAUAACAAUUAUAUACUUUACGUUUGUUAAAAUUAUGUCAUUUUAUUUAAUUAUUCAAUAAUAAUGUUAUUGACUAUUAUAAUGUUAAAGUAAAUAUAAGACUUAUCAAUGUCGAAGCUCUUUGUGCUUUUGUUUUUAAUACCUGUAAGGGUUAAAUAUUUAAAUUAAUGAGAUCUACUACAGACGUAUUAACAAGGAUGCAUUUGUAGUAGCAUCUUAAAAUAAAAACGAUUGUAUCAUACUCAAUUAAGACAAAAAAUAUAAAAAGAAGUAUCGAUACAAUAAUGUCGAUAUAAUAUAGUGCCGCCCUAUAGGAUUUAGAGACGCAGUGACGCCGGCUGCCGGCAGCCCGGUACGGCAGUGGCGCGCCGCGGGCCGAGUGUGCCACACGUGUUUUACUCACGCUCAAAACACAGCGCUUCAACUGACACCUCGACUCACUCAAACUAAACUUAAUCGAUAACACAAACUCUUAACAAAAACACAAGACUGUUGUAUUAUUCAAACGAAAUACCCGCAGUGCAGAUCUCGAUUAUCACAUUAUACAGUUUUAUAACAUGUCAUGAUGGCAACAUCGAUAUCGCGUGGCGCACCGGCGUCAACAAUGUAGUCAUAGUGACGCGCUUAUGUUGACAGUUUGACAGUCGAAUUGUGAUGUACUGUUGUUGAUGAAUAAACAUGUUUAUAAUGUUGUGAAUAAAUUGUGUUGUUAUGAGAACAAUAAUUUUUAGUAUAUUUGGUAUUUAAUGUACAAACACUCAAAAUGGGAAAUGGAAUGAACAAGGUGCUUCCCGGGCUCUACGUGGGCAACUACCGGGACUCCAAAGACACAGUACAACUCGACAAGUACAAGAUCACACACAUACUAUCCAUACACGAUGCUGCUAGAAGAUUACAUUCCGACAAACACUACCUAUGUAUAAUGGCGUCAGAUUCUCCAGAUCAGAACCUGACGCAAUACUUUAGUUUAUGCAACGAUUUCAUACAUGCAGCGCGACUCAGGGACGGAAAUGUUCUCAUACAUUGUUUGGCAGGCAUGUCACGCAGCGUGACCGUCGCUGUGGCAUACAUCAUGUCAGUGACACCCCUGACGUGGCGAGAGGCACUGAAAGUGGUGAGAGCGGGUAGAGCUGUUGCCAACCCUAACCUAGGCUUCCAAAGACAACUUCAAGACUUCGAAACUUACAAACUUGUUGAGGAGCGAAGACGGCUGAAGGAGCGUUACCCUUCGCUAGCACUGGCGGACCGGGACUUAUCGGAGUGUCGCAUCAUGUUGGACUCAUACCAGACUAUGUUGAGCCAGCGGGCCAUUUGUGAAGGGAAAUGUUCGAUGGGCCGCCAGUGUCCCACUGGCGUGUGCAGAACAGGAUCAAAGAGACAGCCGCGCCCGCGGAAACCGUCGACGGCAGCCGGCAUCGGAGACUCAGGGCCGGCGGGGAUGAAACGGUCUCCGUCCACCUUCUCCACCGCUUCCACCGCUUCAGGGUAUCGGCCGAGGUCGUCACCAGCUGGACUCUAUAGUUAUACUGGUGCGCCUUCGCGGCCGACGCGGUCAGCAUCAGGGUUGUGCGUGACACGCGUGACGGACCCAGGCGGCGGGGGCUCGGCGAUGGCGGUGGGCGGCAGCGAGUACUCCCGGCGGCGAGCCGCGUCCGCGCCCGCCACGCCCGCGCUGUCCCCGGCCUCCUCGCCGCCCGGCUCGCCGCACCGGGUCCCGCAUAGGGGUGGGUGUGCGUGGGUCAUACCUACGGUGAAGUGGGACCCGGACACAAUGUAGCCACGUCUCGUGUCAAGCAGUUUUAAUCACUCGCCCGCACUCCAUCAUAAGAUCCCGACCAGUACAGCGGUGUUCGUAGCACGCACCCGCAAGUCGUCCAGGAUCCGCCCAGUAUCAUGUGCAUAUGCCGGCAUAUACCUGUAUAUGCUCGCAUACACCUGCAUAUGCUCGCAUACACCCGCAUAUGCAUCAACAUCCACGUCCUUUAGAUAUAUCGAUCUAAUUUACGUGCACAUUUCGAUUAUUGUGCUUAGCUUUGAAGGCUGUGCUAUUGUCUUAUAAGGCCCCAAAUAUAGACUUGCUAGCAGCUGUAUAAUUGGCACCAAUGUUGGCCUCUGGUCCAAGCUUAAUCUAAAUCAUAAAGUGUUGGUCCAAAUGUUUGAAGUAAGGGAUGUAAGAUCAAAAAAAGCAAUAUAUUGUUCAAUAAUGAAUGUUUACGAAAGAAAAUAAAAUUGUGUUGGAGCUCCGUCAUUUGACAUUACUGUUCAUGCUUACGGUUACGAUUGCUACGCAGACGGCUACGCUACGUUUCUGUAGAACGUCUACAACCGAGCUACGAAAUUGUACGAGUGAGUUUAGUUUUCUUCCUGUCUAGUACAUAAGCACUGUAAAUAUUUCUGUAUUAAUUUAUUUAAUAUUACUAGCAUAUAAACUUUAUCUGUAAUUAAAAUAUUAAUUGUAAUACAAACAAAUAUUUACUAACAAUUUGCGUUUGUCUUUCUAGUUACAUUCACAUAUUUUUCUUCAUAAUAAGUUAAGAAUGUUAAGAAUCACUUUUUUUAACUAUUUUUAUUUAAAUUUACUGAUUAUGUCGCAAACAACAAGUCGUACAGAAAUAUCGGAGUCGUGGUCGGUGGAAUAGAAUGAUGAAAAUUGUUGUGGUAAAACCAAUAAAAAAAAUACGAAGGAAGAAAAUUAGAACGGGCUAAACGUAGCAAAAUUAAAAAUUUAUUGUGAUUUCAUCGAUUGAUCUCGAUAGUAGUUAUUUAGCUUGUACGAAGAAAAUAUCUGGCUGGUUCAGAUUUCUAUAUUAAGAUUUCUACUUUCAAAACGUAUCUCUAUUUCGCUACUAUCAAUCUCGUCUUUUUAAAACUUUCUGUACAUUAUUGAUUGUAGUACCUCUACAACACCUAAACACGUAACUUGGUCGAAUAGUGCAAAGAAAACGUGUACAUUCAACCGAAUUUCAAGAGAUAAGUAAUUAUAAAUCUUGAGUAAUUUUUUACUUAAAUGUAAAUCUAAACCAUUAUUUAAUCUAUAUUUGACACUUAAUUGCCUGGUUAAUUCCGAUUCCCCCAAUAAUGAUGCAUUAAAAGAAAUUGAAUCCAUUAAAUAAGGACAUUCGUCCUCUCUUUAUGUGUUUAGGUGUCAAUGUAGUAAUUGCUCAAUUGGAUAAUCGAAUCCGUUCCUCGCACGGCACAAUUUUGUUUUAGACCUAUGCACAUUCGGCCAACGAUCGGUUCGUAAUUUUGUAGUUAUUAAGUAGAUAAUAAAUACUUUCAUUGUUUCGAACGAGGGCUGGCUGAAAAUGCUUUGUAUUAAUAUUUAAAAGUUGAAUGUGAUUCUUAUUUACUCUUUCUCCUAAUCAGCACAUCAGCCGAUACUUUCACAGUCGUUUUUUGCAUAAAUUAGUUAAAUCAAUGCUGGUCGAUGUAUUUGUUGAAUGGCCUCAAAAAAAAGCAAAUGUAAAGAAUUUCCUGAGAGAAUUUCCAACUUUAUUUGCCUUAAGUCUUUUUAAAUGCAUCAUUGCCUAGAACGGCCAUUUGUUCUUGUCGCUUGUAACAACGGUAAUCUGUUAUCAAGAUAAACUUUUACAGAAAUUAUAACAUUUUAUCAGGAAGGUAUUCUACAAAGUAUUUCGCAGUAGCUUUGCCCUCAGAUUAAUAUAAAAUUUUUCCUAAUCAAAUUCUGCUCACUUCAUUAGGUAUUUCUUACAAACGUCUGUAGUAUCUAAGUUGUGAAUAUUUGCAUAUCUUUUUCAUCUUGAACAAGGCUUAGCCUGAUUUAGAAAAAAUGUGAUUUAGAUGCCUUUAGCACGGUGGCGUAGUUGUUAGUAUUCUAUAUUAAAUUUUAUUUACAUUGUUACGUGCACAUUGCCAGGUGUAGUAUAAAUCUGAAGUUACUUAUUGAAUACUGAUUUUGAAAUAUUUCUACCAAGUAAUAAAUGACGUUCUGUGGUCCCGCUAUAUAGAAUGGGUGUGAUAUUGUUUUCCCACCAUUCCUUUGUCGCCCCUAUAGGCGUUAGUAGGGUUGGCGAAUCUUACUUAUCUGUUGGGAGUAUUUUAUAUAAUUUUGUCAUACCAUCUAAUGCAUAUAAUAAUAAUUUAGAUAUUUUUUUCAUUAAAGAACUUGAACAAAAAUAAAUUCUGUUUGGGAAAUGACAUUGUGUCUAUUAAAAUAUGAGAUACCUAUUGUACUCAUUUUAUACAUUUGUUUUGCACUGUAAAAUAAAAAAUGUUAACUUAUUAGGAAGUACAUGACAGCCCUAUGAAGGGCGGGUGGCGAGGCCUCGUAGCAGAUGUUCAGACCGCUGCGCACAUACACCGCUCGAUAUGAAUUGCAUAUCUAUUUACCUCCAGCAACAACAGAGGUGUUAUUAGACGCAGAACUGGAAGUGAGGUGCUGGGUAAAUGUGAAUUUUAUUUUUGUUUAUUUUCCUAGGUUCACCAACGGUUUUCACAUUAUUACAUUAUGUUAUAGCUUAAAAUAGUGUUAAACUGAAUGUCACCAAACAACUUGUAGGUAAACGUAGCUUGCAUUGAAAUACAUAAGAUUAUAACAUAACUGACGGAUACAAACAAUGGAUUAUAAAAUUUAAAGAAAAAUAUAUCUUUAUUAUCUGGGUUUAGCCAGAGUUCACAUGCAUGAUCGAAAGAUACCUUUUCAAUUCAUUAUCUAUAAAAUUAAUGAUUUAGCGCAAAUUAGCUGGCUAAUAUUAUAAUAUAUAUUUUUGUGAACAUUACAAAACGUGAAAUAUACAGGUGUCCUUAUUUUAAUACUUGGCACUAUUAAAACAGAAUAAGUCCAAUAUUUUAGAGCCAACAUAAAGGAUCAUGGAACGAUUGCUAUUAAAAUGUAAAUAUUUUUAAAAGUAUUUUACAAAACCUGGUAAUGUGCUUGAUUAUUUUAGAAUUUCUGCCACUGUAGCUUUGUUACUCAUUCAUAAGUGUAAAUAAAUGUAAAGCAUAAGAUUAAUAAUUGUGACAGAGUAAACUGAAGGUGUAUUAUUAUUCCAUUUGUGAGCAGCUUUUAGAUACUUUUUUUCUGUCGCCUUCCACCCAAUAUAAAUCGCAAACAACCGACUAUGUAAACAGUGAAAUGGCGCGAAACAUAUCAUACUUGUACAAAAUAUCGGUUAAUAUAACUGCCCUCUUUUUGCGUAAGGGAUCAAAAAUAUUGUAAACAUGACUAUCAACGUUAUAUUCCGCCUUUUUUCUAAUAGAACUAUAGAGGUAUGUUUGGCCUUGAAUUAAGGCAAGUUUCUUUAUGUAGAUCUCGGCUAAUUAUCAUCAGCGAGAUCAGUCGCCGGUUAACUUAUCUAUUUACGUUUCAAAGUCGGUAGUUUGCGGUAAGCCUAAAGGCGCGUAUUUCGUAGUUUUUAAAUACAUCAUGCAACGUGCAUGGAGAGAUAAGAGAACCAAUACACAAAUAUAAUACAAACUUUUUGACACAUCAAUGUAAUACGGGUUUUCUACGCAUACAAUUCUUUUGAACAGGGAGAUAGUGCCGGAUUUAUACUUUCUCUAAGUUUAGGCCACGCAGUUUGUGCCACCCGCAUGUUCUACAUCCGGGUACUUACUUUACGGGAGGAAAAAAAAGGGUCCGAAAUAACAAAUGUGCCGCCCGUACCAUGAAAUAUGAUACGCCCAAACCCGCUGCAAUCUCUAGGCCGCGGCCUAUAACUACAACUUAUCCGGUUGUAGGUAAAAAAAAGGUUAUCAAAUGGAUAUUAAACAUAGAUGAUGAAAAGUGUAGUAAUAAAGUAGUUAUAUUAUGAAUUAUUUUAUAAUUAUUCAAUCGGCAAAUCUAACACGUCAUGUAAAAAUUUGAGAAUAAAUUAUACAAUGGAUCGAUAUCAAAAUGUAAAACGUUUGUCAGGGGCUUAAAUAAAACUGGAAAAUAUUUAGCACAGAAGGUAAAAAGCAUAGUUAAGAUUAUCCGUUAUUAUAUGUAUAAGAUAAUUUAAACCACAUAAUUAGAUGUGCACGUUCCAUGCAUAAAUAAUGCACAACACACGAUUAUAGUGUCUGCGAACUUUGUGCGAUGAUUUUAAUUGAUGUUAAUAAAAGUUACUUGAAAUAAUGUCCGUUUUGCCCAUUUUAUAUCAACCUUUUCAAAAUUAUAUACUAGGUCUGGAACUAUGAAGUAGGAAAUAAUCAUGAAAUAUUUUAACAAUGCCUUCUCGUUUUAUACCUCCUAGGCAUCCUAAAAAUGUUUAAGAGCCCGGUUUGAAAAUGGAUAUAAGUAUAGUCUAGUGAUUAUUUUACAGUUAUUUUAGCCUAUAAUCUUGAUUGUAUCCUAUUUUUAUUCCAAAAGCAUGUUCUAAAUACAUAAUAUAAAUUCAAUAUAAAAAUAAAAUAAACACGUGGUCUCUCAUAAAUGACAAUAUUUUAAGAGAACUUUAAGAGAAAUAUUUUUAUUGGAUAUUCAUAUUAUUUACUCAAAGCUAUUUAAAAAUCAAUAUAUAAAUCCUUUUCGUCUACCCAUAUAAUGAUUGGAACGUUAUGUAUACAAGUGUUGCGGGUACUAUCAGGUUCAAAAGUAUGAUACAAGACAUUAAAAAAAAUUAAGUAUCUUGAAACUUCAAAAUAGCAAAUCCGGGGCUUUUGUUGCUGACAGUACACGCCAUAUUCCGUCAGAAUGAUAUUAAUGUUAAGAGUUAUUAUGCACCCUAAGGCGUUAAAGUUUCUCAUUGAAGUGCUUAAAGUUAAGCAAUAAGAUAAUCUAUGGUAAGACGGCAAUAGCAACGUGAAAGAUAUGUUUAACAUAAUUAUGUAACUGUGUAUAUUUUUAAUAUAAAAUUUAAUAUAU